RNAcentral lists this ribosomal RNA (114 nucleotides) under Periophthalmus magnuspinnatus. Lineage: Eukaryota; Metazoa; Chordata; Actinopteri; Gobiiformes; Gobiidae. The record is from RNAcentral.
GACUAUACUACCCUGUCAAAGCCUGGUCUUAUCAGAUCUCAGAAGCUAAGCAAGGCUGGGCCUGGUUAGUACUUGGAUGGGAGACUGCUGGGAAGGUAAAUGAAUGUAUGGUCU